RNAcentral lists this small nuclear RNA (104 nucleotides) under Cervus hanglu yarkandensis (Yarkand deer). The record is from RNAcentral. Lineage: Eukaryota; Metazoa; Chordata; Mammalia; Artiodactyla; Cervidae.
GUGCUCGCUUCGGCAGCACAUACACUAAAACUGGAAUAAUACAGAGAUUAGCAUGGCCCCUGCGCAAGGAUGACACACAAAUUUGUAAAGCGUUCCAUAUUUUU